This 320-nucleotide long non-coding RNA is filed under the name Vigna radiata. RNAcentral describes it as "long non-coding RNA (VRAD_LNC003366)". Lineage: Eukaryota; Viridiplantae; Streptophyta; Magnoliopsida; Fabales; Fabaceae. The record is from RNAcentral.
UCGGAGAGAGGCGGAUUGACAAGAAUGAGGGUUGAGUUUUCGCCAGGAUGAAGAAAUAGAGGAUGGGCAGGAUUAGUAAGAUGAUCGGUGGUGGAGGAGGAGGCAACGGUGGUGGUGGCUGGGGCGGAGGAAGCCAUGAGAAAGGGAUCAGACAGAAGAUGAAGAAAAGAGGGCAAACGACGAACCCUAAUUAUUUUCUUUCUUUUGAUACCAUGUAAGAAUUGUGAGAAGAGAGAAACAAGAACCCUAGAGAAAACAAAACUAUGAAUGAAUAUUAUUGAGAAAGUGAGUUUAGUACAACGGAAGCAAGGAAUAUAAAC